UACGGAGGGGGCAAGCGUUAUUCGGAAUUAUUGGGCGUAAAGGGCGCGUAGGCGGCUAGAUGUGUCAAAGGUGAAAUCCCUCGGCUCAACUGAGGAACUGCCUUUGAAACUGUCUGGCUUGAGGACGGAAGAGGGGCGUGGAAUUCCUGGUGUAGCGGUGAAAUGCGUAGAGAUCAGGAGGAACACCCGUGGCGAAGGCGGCGCCCUGGUCCGUUACUGACGCUGAGACGCGAAAGCGCGGGGAGCGAACGGG
RNAcentral lists this ribosomal RNA (253 nucleotides) under uncultured bacterium. Its description in RNAcentral is "partial 16S ribosomal RNA". It matches the Rfam family "Bacterial small subunit ribosomal RNA", at positions 524 to 776 of the family's 1533-position model. The record is from RNAcentral.